This 68-nucleotide transfer RNA is filed under the name uncultured Anaerobutyricum sp. It matches the Rfam family "tRNA". Rfam says of the family: Transfer RNA (tRNA) molecules are approximately 80 nucleotides in length. Their secondary structure includes four short double-helical elements and three loops (D, anti-codon, and T loops). The record is from RNAcentral. Lineage: Bacteria; Bacillati; Bacillota; Clostridia; Lachnospirales; Lachnospiraceae.
CAGAUAUGGUUCAUCGGUAGAACAUUGGCUUCCCAAGCCGAAGAGGCGGGUUCGACUCCCGUUAUCUG